AACGCUUCGCCGGGCUAAGCCUCGCCAGCGCUGAGGACGAAAUAGUAAUGGAACUUGCCGCCGAACGAAAGUCCAGGCGGAGGCUUCCUUUCCCGCUGGCGAAAGGCAUAAAUUUGAAUUGUUUUACUAUGUCUGCAGUAGCAUGAGAAGUUGAACGAAUUAGAAAAGACACACUAAUUUAUUUUUGCAAUAACUCAAGCAAGUUUUAUAAAUAUCGAUGUAUUUACAUCUUUUUUCAAGACUAUGUAGUAUCGCUCCAUGAGGAUUCAAGACGCCUGCCUCCUCCGGUAAGUGCACUCUGUAUUAUCGUUCACAUAAUUAGGUUAAUUUCCAUUUUAUGCAAGCCUGCGGCUUUGUUUGAAUGUUUUGAUGAAUGCAGCGGUACUGUCAGGUGCAUCAAAGGUGUCUCACGCCCGCAGGUGAGCCAUAAUGAGCUGUGCCAAGGCCACAUUCUUGAGUCCUGCCCGGGCUAGUCAUAUUACUGAUUUUAUGCAGGAUGAGUUAAUAAAUUGUUAUUUUCAUCAUAAUUUCAUAAUGAAAUUUACAAAAUGAGUAUUCAGAAUCAUUCGUCAGUUGUGUAUUUAUAAAUUAUUGAUGGAUUUAAUAGGCAAAAUGUAACAAAAGCUGAUGAAGGUAUUUCCUGUUUCCUGUAUUUUCAGGUAUUGACAUAAGAGUGCAAGCAAGUAUAAAGGCUGUAGUCACUGUCUAGUGGGGUCACUCCCUCCUAAACCUAGAUCAAGAGCAAGACCCAGAUGAUGGCAGCCUUACAAGUUUUUGAGGAGCUUGAUGUCCUCGAGGAUGCUGCAGGGGAAAGGGUCAGACUGCCGAGAAGGAUUGUAAAGGAUCGCUUGGAUUUAUUCCUGACUUUGACUGAAGAGGAAUUUACAUCCAGGUUCAGGAUAUCAAAGCAAAGCGCAAGGGCCUUACUUGCUGACUUACAUUUACCAGAGGCAGCUGAUGCAAGAGGAUGUCCUGUACCACCUCACCUUCAACUCCUCAUCACCUUAAGAUGGAUGGCCACUGGUGACCUGCACCAAACUAUUGGAGAUUGCCUGGAUGUCUCUCAGCAGUUUGUAAGUUCAUGCUCUUCACGUACUGUGCGUGCCAUUACUGCUUUAUAUCAGCGGUAUGUAAAGAAUUCCUGGAAGGCAUGAGUUAGGGUCCAUCAAGACAAACUUUGAAGCAAUCUCUGGAUUCCCAGGUGUCAUUGGUGCAAUAGACUGCACACACAUCCCCAUUCUCAGUCCAGGUGGUCAGCAAGCAGAAACUUACCGAAGCAGAAAGGGCUUCUUUUCAUUAAAUGUACAAGCAGUGUGUGGUCCAGACUUAACAUUUUAUAAUAUUAUAUGUCGAUGGCCAGGAUCAGUCCACGACAGCGGAAUAUUUGCUAAUAGUUCUCUGUAUGCUCAGUUGCAAGCUGGCGAUUACAAUGGCCAUUUGUUAGGGGACUCAGCCUACCCUCUUCGUCCCUUUCUUAUGACUCCUGUUGGGAAUCCAUCACGGCCAAAUGAAGGACGAUAUAACUUGGCUCAUGCUAAAACCCGUAAUGUAAUAGAGAGAGCAUUUGGAGUGUGGAAACGACGAUUCCGUUGUCUGGCCAUUCCUAUGCGUACAAGCCUGGACACAACCAUGGCCACAAUCUGCAGUGCAGCUGUUUUGCACAACAUUGCACUGGCAGACAGGAAUGAAGAUAUGGAAGAUUAUGACAAUGAUAUUAUAAAUGAAGAGGAAAGACUCAUUGAGUAUGCACAAAAUAGACAUGCAGGACAGAGGAAGAGGGCAAACAUGAUAAAUAAUGUAUUUUCAAAUGAAUAACAUGAAAUGAUAUAAAUGUCAGGGACCAAUUUUUGCUGCCCAAAUAGUGAUAAAAGUAAACUGUUGUCUGUAUCUUUUUUGGGUUUUGUAAACUGAGGGAGUAAGCCAAUACAAAGGCUGCAGGCACUAUACCAAAUGGGGUGACUAUCUGGCCCGUGCUGGGUUAAUGGGUCUCUCCCACUACAAGCUCAAAGGGUCAACUGGACAGGAAUGAGCUCUGAGCUCCACAGUCACACAUAGCUAUAGCAUAUACUCCCAUUACACACACAGGACAUGCAAACACACAGGCGUGGAACCCUACUCUACCUUCAGGUAAUGUGGUUUUCAGUCUGGAAAAUAAGUUAUAUUUGUUUUCAAGUUUUAUAUUUUUGUGGAAUCUGUUUUAUAUGGUUGACUAAUAAAAUCUAUUGGAAAAGUA
Long non-coding RNA from Eriocheir sinensis (Chinese mitten crab), 2233 nucleotides. RefSeq lists it as uncharacterized. NCBI's taxonomy places the organism in Eukaryota, Metazoa, Arthropoda, Malacostraca, Decapoda, Varunidae. The transcript has 3 exons. The record is from RefSeq and is a predicted model, not a curated record.